This 564-nucleotide ribosomal RNA is filed under the name Xylariaceae sp. BCC 20950. RNAcentral describes it as "eukaryotic LSU rRNA". It matches the Rfam family "Eukaryotic large subunit ribosomal RNA", at positions 62 to 648 of the family's 3401-position model. Lineage: Eukaryota; Fungi; Ascomycota; Sordariomycetes; Xylariales; Xylariaceae. The record is from RNAcentral.
AAACCAACAGGGAUUGCCCUAGUAACGGCGAGUGAAGCGGCAACAGCUCAAAUUUGAAAUCUGGCCCUCGGGUCCGAGUUGUAAUUUGCAGAGGAUGCUUUUGGCGCGGUGCCUUCCGAGUUCCCUGGAAUGGGACGCCUUAGAGGGUGAGAGCCCCGUACGGUUGGACACCAAGCCUCUGUAAAGCUCCUUCGACGAGUCGAGUAGUUUGGGAAUGCUGCUCUAAAUGGGAGGUAAAUUUCUUCUAAAGCUAAAUAUUGGCCAGAGACCGAUAGCGCACAAGUAGAGUGAUCGAAAGAUGAAAAGCACUUUGAAAAGAGGGUUAAAUAGCACGUGAAAUUGUUGAAAGGGAAGCGUUUGCGACCAGACCUCUUCCCGGCGGAUCAUCCGGUGUUCUCACCGGUGCACUUCGCCGGGUCGAGGCCAGCAUCGGUCUCUGUAGGGGGAUAAAAGCUCAGGGAACGUAGCUCCUUCGGGAGUGUUAUAGCCCUCUGCACAAUGCCCUUACGGGGACCGAGGACCGCGCCUUCGGGCAAGGAUGCUGGCGUAAUGGUCGCCAACGAC